This 478-nucleotide ribosomal RNA is filed under the name uncultured bacterium. RNAcentral describes it as "partial 16S ribosomal RNA". It matches the Rfam family "Bacterial small subunit ribosomal RNA", at positions 29 to 507 of the family's 1533-position model. The record is from RNAcentral.
AUGAACGCUGGCGGCGUGCUUAACACCUGCAAGUCGAACGAAGCACUUAAGAUUGAUUCUUCGGCUGACGUCUUUUGUGACUUAGUGGCGGACGGGUGAGUAACGCGUGGGUAACCUGCCUCACACAGGGGGAUAACAGUUAGAAAUGACUGCUAAUACCGCAUAACCCGAUAGGAUCGCAUGAUCCAGACGGAAAAGAUUUAUCGGUGUGAGAUGGACCCGCGUCUGAUUAGCUAGUUGGUGAGGUAACGGCCCACCAAGGCGACGAUCAGUAGCCGGCCUGAGAGGGUGAACGGCCACAUUGGGACUGAGACACGGCCCAAACUCCUACGGGAGGCAGCAGUGGGGAAUAUUGCACAAUGGGGGAAACCCUGAUGCAGCGACGCCGCGUGAGUGAAGAAGUAUUUCGGUAUGUAAAGCUCUAUCAGCAGGGAAGAAAAUGACGGUACCUGACUAAGAAGCCCCGGCUAACUACGUG